RNAcentral lists this long non-coding RNA (2432 nucleotides) under Capra hircus (goat). RNAcentral's name for it is "lncRNA (ENSCHIG00010025228.1)". Lineage: Eukaryota; Metazoa; Chordata; Mammalia; Artiodactyla; Bovidae. The record is from RNAcentral.
CCCGGGCUGGCCCAGCCCCCGCCCCGGGCCGGCCAUAGGGCGUGGGGGGUGGGGAGCGGGGGAGGGUGGGGGCCGGGCCGGGAUUGGGGGGGGCGGGGGCGCGGCUUUGUGGCGGCAGCGGACCGUGGAGGCCGGGUGCAGCCCCGUCGGCUCCGCGCUCCUAGCAGAAAGGGCUUUUCUACGCCCCCCGCCCAUCACUUGGAUCUGGUCUGGGUAAGGAGGGUUUUUUUUUUUUUUUUUCUGGAAGUCCCCCCCCNNNNNNNNNNNNNNNNNNNNNNNNNNNNNNNNNNNNNNNNNNNNNNNNNNNNNNNNNNNNNNNNNNNNNNNNNNNNNNNNNNNNNNNNNNNNNNNNNNNCUGGAAGUCCCCCCCCCACCUCAACCCGCGGUGAAGGAUUUGAGGCUGGGCUCCAAUCUAGGCGGAGGCUGCAGGGCCCGCGGGGCGCCCCCCGCCCCGCGCACGCCUCCCAGGAGCCCUGGAAGGCACAACCCUGGGGGCCCCCCUUGCACCCCCAGAGGCAGCAGCGGCGCUAUUGCCCAGUGCCAUUCACCAAGGUGGUGAAAUUCACACGCCCAUCGAGAAUGCACAGGUGAGGGUGUCUCUUGCCAACACCCUCGCCCAUCCUGUCAAGACAGCAGCAUGUCAGAUCUCAAACUCAGGUAAGUGGACUUUCCAUGUGGGCCUGAUGGGGUGGACACCGCCCGAGAGGUUGUCCCUGUAGCUGUCUGAGGCACUGAGCUGCUCAGAGCUCUCGUUUAGGUUUUAUAAACAAAGACAGAGUCUGGGUAGGUGAGCCAGAACCAUGCAGUGAGACGCAUUGUGCAACUCAGUAUUUAUUUCUUUAGCACAGCUAGGACUUAAAUAUGGUCAAAACAUAUUCUCCUUUUAAUUUACACAAACAAAUAUGUUCCCGGGCUGACACCUCCUGUGCCAAGUUUCUAGGGGAAACGAAAUUCUACUGUGAGAAGAGAAACCACCAGAGAGAAAAGGGUGGAAAAGCCAUCACUGUCUGCUUCGCACGUCCGAGCUGGGCUUCUCGGAGGGGUGUUUCAGAACUGGGCUGCUGCCUCUUGGUCUCUUUCUGUCUUUGUUGCAGAUAAACCUGCCAGUAAUUUCAGCAAAUGAAACGUGGAACAUGUAAAGGCCAAAUGAUGGAAAACACUCCGGUUUUAAUAAAAGGUCUGCUCGGCUGAGACUCCUCUGUCCUGCUAGUCAGGAGAUGCAAAGAUUUAUCCAGAGAGGGGCUGAUGAAUUGAAGAAACAGAAAUGAGGCCAAUGUGAGUUGCCUUUCAAGAGCUGUGCUAAUAUAAAACCAAGCAACUUGAAUUUAUUCCAAGAGGGGAUUAAAGCAACAUGUUAUUUUGAGUGAUUGCUUAAUUUAUUGAGCUGUGGCUAGAUCGGUAAUGAAAUACAGCCCUUGCAACUGAUAACCUCUCUCUGUAAUUGAACUUCUACAAUUAAGAAAUAUUUUCUGAGAGUUUCUCUGGAACAGCUCAGAAUUUUUAGUCUCCGUAGUCAGGUACUUUUGAACACUCAUUUUCUAGGCAAGUUUUCCUUUCUUUCUUUAAGGACUGACAGGCUUAUGUUAAUAAGGAAAAUAAGCAGCAUUUUACUGAAUGGCUUGUGUAUACCAGGCACAUAAUAUACAUUAUCUCUAGUCCCCACCACAGCCCAAGAAAGUCAUUCUUAUUUGUCCCUGUUUUAUAGAGAUGAGGCUCCUAGAUGUUAAGUGAUUUCCCAGGGUGGUGGUGUCCAAGAUGAUAGCUACUAGUCACUUGUGGCUAUUUCUGUGUAAAUUAGUUUAAAAUGUUUUAAUCUAAAAUUUCACUGCUUAGGUUGCACUGAGCAGGGCUAGUGGCCACCACACUGGAUGCUGCAGAUAUAGAUCAGUUCGAUUACUGCAGAAAGUUCCACUGCUCAGCGCCAUUCCAGAGGUUCCCUAGGUAGAGACAGGCAGUGCUAGGUUUCAACCUCAAGCUAAUGGGCUUUGAAGGCAGCAUCUACCAUAGCCCUUGUUUCCUUCUCUUCCUUUGGCUGAGACAGAAGGACUAGAGCAGUGAUUCUAAACCCUGGCUCCACAUUAAAAUUACCUGGACUCUUAUAUAAUAUCCUAUCUGGCCAUUUUAAUGACUCCAGAUAGGCAAAAAUAUCUGUAAAACUGAAUUAUUUCCUUUAUCAAUGUUUUAUUAUCUAUUAACAUAACUAUACUGACUUUCUAAAAUUUUGGUGAAUUGAACAUUAAAAAAAAAAUUACCUGGACUGAAACUUCCCUGGUAGUCUAGGAAAGCAUGGAUCUGCCCUCUUGAUUCGAGGAGCGGGGCGGGGGGGCACUGGGUUCGACUCCUGGUCAGGGAACUAGAUCCCACAUGCCACAACUAAGACCCGGCGGCUGCUGCUGCUAAGUCGCUUCAGUCGUGUCCGACUCUGUGCAACC